Molecule: transfer RNA, 71 nt
Filed under: Hanseniaspora uvarum
Lineage: Eukaryota; Fungi; Ascomycota; Saccharomycetes; Saccharomycodales; Saccharomycodaceae
Rfam family: tRNA
About the family: Transfer RNA (tRNA) molecules are approximately 80 nucleotides in length.
Source: Rfam by way of RNAcentral
AUAUAGUUAGUUUAGUGGUAAAAUAUUGACCUUCCAAGUUAAAGUCGUGGAUUCGAGUUCCAUACUAUAUA